AGUGAACGCUGGCGGUAGGCCUAACACAUGCAAGUCGAACGGCAGCACAGUAAGAGCUUGCUCUUACGGGUGGCGAGUGGCGGACGGGUGAGGAAUACAUCGGAAUCUACUUUUUCGUGGGGGAUAACGUAGGGAAACUUACGCUAAUACCGCAUACGACCUACGGGUGAAAGCAGGGGAUCUUCGGACCUUGCGCGAUUGAAUGAGCCGAUGUCGGAUUAGCUAGUUGGCGGGGUAAAGGCCCACCAAGGCGACGAUCCGUAGCUGGUCUGAGAGGAUGAUCAGCCACACUGGAACUGAGACACGGUCCAGACUCCUACGGGAGGCAGCAGUGGGGAAUAUUGGACAAUGGGCGCAAGCCUGAUCCAGCCAUACCGCGUGGGUGAAGAAGGCCUUCGGGUUGUAAAGCCCUUUUGCUGGGAAAGAAGAGCAGCAGGUUAAUACCCCGCUGUUCUGACGGUACCCAAAGAAUAAGCACCGGCUAACUUCGUG
Molecule: ribosomal RNA, 492 nt
Filed under: uncultured bacterium
Lineage: Bacteria
Description: partial 16S ribosomal RNA
Rfam family: Bacterial small subunit ribosomal RNA
Source: RNAcentral